AUGGAGAUUGCCCACCGGAACCGGGAGCCCUUCAACUUCAUGUCCGGCCGGAAGCGCCCGCGCCCGCUGGAGAUCCUUCGCCAGCGGUUCCAGUCAGAACUCGCCGCAGUCCGUCGCCUCCUCGCCGAGGCGGCCACCGUGCUUCCCGCCUCGUCCCCGUCGGCUCCCCGCGUGCGCGUCCGUCAAGCCGAGGAGCCUCCAGCCAAGAAGAGGAAGGCGUCCCCUCCCGUUCCCGUGAAGAUGACGCCCAAGGAGAGGAACCAACUCUACGGGGACCUCGCGAAGCUAGCCAAGCUGUCUGAAUCCCAUGUACUCCCUGCUCAUAUCCUGGAGCUGCUGAAGAAGCACAGCCGCCGCGGCAUCUGCGACGAUUACAUCGAGAUCGAGAUGCACGCCGUCCAAGACGCGUCCCUUGUGGAGAUGCAGAAGCAGCUGGACAAGCCGACACCAGUGCAGCUCGUCGAAGAGGACGAGGAGUACGUGGACAUCUGCAGCUCGUCGAAGAAUCUUGGCGGAGAUGCAACCAUCAGCGGCAGCAGCGGUUCGGAUUCUGAUUCUUCUCGCCAGAGCGUCGACAGUCCAGCUCCGGCACAGCGCGCCUCCAACACCAUGCCUGCAACACGCGACCUGAUCGCCCGUGCCAACGAGAUUUUGGAAAGGCGGCGAAAAGAGGAGACGUCCCGGGCGAGGGAGAAGGCCCGUCAGGAGCUGCUCCAGAUGGAGAGGACGGCAAUGCCGAACGACACCCUGGACGAGGACGUGAAGGCCCUUGGCAUUGAUCAGCACAACACGGCCAGGCCGGACAACUUGUUGCGACGGAUGGGACUCUUCCUCAAGCUAGACGACCACGACCUGAAGCAGCAGCAGCACCACCAGCACCAAAGCUGCCAAGAAGAUUUAGAGGAAGGGGAGAUUCGGCUGUGA
Molecule: ribosomal RNA, 924 nt
Filed under: Triticum aestivum (bread wheat)
Lineage: Eukaryota; Viridiplantae; Streptophyta; Magnoliopsida; Poales; Poaceae
Description: partial small subunit ribosomal RNA
Source: RNAcentral